RNAcentral lists this ribosomal RNA (1048 nucleotides) under Streptomyces sp. NRRL B-1140. RNAcentral describes it as "bacterial LSU rRNA". It matches the Rfam family "Bacterial large subunit ribosomal RNA", at positions 589 to 1524 of the family's 2925-position model. Lineage: Bacteria; Bacillati; Actinomycetota; Actinomycetes; Kitasatosporales; Streptomycetaceae. The record is from RNAcentral.
UCUCGUGACUGCGUGCCUUUUGAAGAAUGAGCCUGCGAGUUUGCGGUGUGUUGCGAGGUUAACCCGUGUGGGGAAGCCGUAGCGAAAGCGAGUCCGAAUAGGGCGAUUCAGUAGCGCGCUCAAGACCCGAAGCGGAGUGAUCUAGCCAUGGGCAGGUUGAAGCGGAGGUAAGACUUCGUGGAGGACCGAACCCACCAGGGUUGAAAACCUGGGGGAUGACCUGUGGUUAGGGGUGAAAGGCCAAUCAAACUCCGUGAUAGCUGGUUCUCCCCGAAAUGCAUUUAGGUGCAGCGUCGUGUGUUUCUUGCCGGAGGUAGAGCACUGGAUAGGCGAUGGGCCCUACCGGGUUACUGACCUUAGCCAAACUCCGAAUGCCGGUAAGUGAGAGCGCGGCAGUGAGACUGUGGGGGAUAAGCUCCAUGGUCGAGAGGGAAACAGCCCAGAGCAUCGACUAAGGCCCCUAAGCGUACGCUAAGUGGGAAAGGAUGUGGAGUCGCAGAGACAACCAGGAGGUUGGCUUAGAAGCAGCCACCCUUGAAAGAGUGCGUAAUAGCUCACUGGUCUAGUGAUUCCGCGCCGACAAUGUAGCGGGGCUCAAGCGUACCGCCGAAGUCGUGUCAUUGCAGUAUAAGCCCCAACGGGUGCUGUGAUGGGUAGGGGAGCGUCGUGUGCCGGGUGAAGCAGCACCGGAAGGUAGUUGUGGACGGUUCACGAGUGAGAAUGCAGGCAUGAGUAGCGAUUCACACGUGAGAAACGUGUGCGCCGAUUGACUAAGGGUUCCUGGGUCAAGCUGAUCUGCCCAGGGUAAGUCGGGACCUAAGGCGAGGCCGACAGGCGUAGUCGAUGGAUAACCGGUUGAUAUUCCGGUACCCGCUGUGAAGCGUCAAACAUCGAGCAUCGUGAUGCUAAGGCCGUGAAGCCGCCCCGGAGCCUUCGGGCAAAGGGGAGUGGUGGAGCCGCUGAACCAAGCGGUUAGUAGGUGAGUGAUGGGGUGACGCAGGAAGGUAGUCCAUCCCGGGCGGUGGUUGUCCCGGGGUAAGGGUGUAGG